This is a long non-coding RNA of Armigeres subalbatus, 209 nucleotides long. RefSeq lists it as uncharacterized. The record is from RefSeq and is a predicted model, not a curated record. The transcript has 3 exons. Lineage: Eukaryota; Metazoa; Arthropoda; Insecta; Diptera; Culicidae.
CUAAAAUAUUAUAUAUUUAUAGUCUAGUUAAAGAAUUGAAUUUGAUUAAUCCCUAUCUCCACGAGCCGACGGGUUUUAUGUAUUUAAAUAUAGACGUCAGUUGAUCCAAAAAGAGUAUUCAAACAGAAAACCUAGUUGAGUGGUAGCGUACACUACAGAAUUUUGUAAUUCUACAAUAAAUUAACAAAAUCAUCCAAACCCUACCGCCC